Folsomia candida is the source of this 1029-nucleotide long non-coding RNA. RefSeq lists it as uncharacterized. The record is from RefSeq and is a predicted model, not a curated record. The transcript is spliced from 4 exons. Lineage: Eukaryota; Metazoa; Arthropoda; Collembola; Entomobryomorpha; Isotomidae.
UUUGAAAGUUAUGGAGUAUGGAUGCGAGAAACCAUGAAAUCAUGACGAAAUCAUGAACAAAUCACGGACUAUGGAUACAGCUUUAGUAUCUUUCAUUCGUUUGUCAACCUAUCGCCAGGCUUGUACGAGUACAAAUUUUGAGGGGGCACAACUAAUUUGAACACUGCUAAAUAUUUAUACCACUUUUAAGGUUCUACAUAAGUCCUAAGUUUUUAGCAUUUAAAAACUAAAACAAUGGAGACAUGAUGUUGCAGUUUAUCAACAUGGGCACGACUAAUUGCAAUUCUUCAAAUCAUCGUCUACGCAUUUCUUCUGAUGUAUCACCUUUGGAAAAUAGGAAAGGUGCCUUCACCAGGAGCCUAUAAUGAAAGUCCGGACGAUGAGUCCGGACAUCAAAGACUGAGCAGCACAGGGGGAUUUCUAAUUUUUGCAAUUGUGACCGAGACACUGCUGCUAUUCUGCUCUGCAUUGUUGUUGUAUGGAAUUACAUAUGGACGCCCUUCUUUCUGCAAGCCGUGGUUAUAUACAAGUUGCAUGUUUCUAUCCAUCGCUUGCGUGGAUAUAUUUAUAAAUUUUGUAGUAUUAGUAUUUACUAAUCCUAGUGUCGCAUUCAUUUACAUGUGCCUUGAAGGAUUACUAAUUUCGAUUCCAAUUUAUCAAUGCUACGUUGUCAGAGAGUUUGUAAUAGAAUUGGAGGAAAACCUGAGAGUAACGAUCGGUAGUGAUGACGGGAAUGUUUUUCCCAAGCACAAUGUAGCAGAAAAGUAAGAAUGGAAUAAUAAUAUAAAUUCUACUAAAUAAAAUUCAGAAAUGUAUACAAUUUGUGUUCUAAGCUGGUAAUAGUAAAGUUAAUUACAGAUUAGGCUUCGAUCCUUUUAGUAAAAUAAAUAUAAUGCUGCAUCACAUAAGAAUAGUAAGCUUAAUAAAAUUGAUACACACGUAUUUAAGUACCAACUCUAGCUUUAGAUUGGAUGAACGAAUUCGAGUUUAUGUUUAUUUUUAAUAAAACAUCAAUAAUAUUUAUUAAAA